CUUCAUUAGCUUAGCAUGUCAAGUUCCUGAAACGCUGUAUUAUGUGUUUAAACAGGUUAGUAAAAAAGAAAAAAAAAGAAAAAGACUCGGCCCCUCGCAGGGUGAUUUCACACCCAGACCUCCAGACUGACAACCUGCGAUGCAGAUGUCCGUGCGCGGCAUCCAAGGUGUGAAGCCAGUCCCUCUGGCUUCUAGAAGCAGAACACCCCGCACUAUAACUCAGAACGCAACUGUUUCUCCUGCUGGGUCAUUGAGACGUUGGAAGUGAAGCAUGGAUGUGUGACACACGGAGGGUACAUACGUGCAGUCUGAUUCCUUUCACUUGCCGUUUAUCAAGCUGAGGAACCAGUUGCAGCAGAGGGUGCAACAUGGGGGGCUGACGCAUCCACACACCAACAUGGACAAACAUGAGAACCAUGAACAGCCACCCCUUGACACGGGGCCGGGGCGUGCAGAGAGGACUCAGAUACAACAGUAGCAGGGAAAGCAGAAGCUGGCUGCUUGCACGACUCCAAGAAACCACACAACGGAUGCUGUAACCCUGGCGAUGACCUUGCUGUGACCCUGAGAGCUGCUACCAAGGCAUGGACCAGACAUUCUGUGAUGAACGACCUGCUGUCAAUGUUCUCUCUCAUCACUCCCCUCCUAAAUUAAUCUUUCUCUCUGUCCCUCUACCUUUCUCUCUCUCUCUCCCUUAUUUUCACACUCUUUGUCAUUCUCACUCCCUUUUUCUACCUCCCUUUCUCUACUCUCUCUAAUUUAAUUCAAUUUAAA
Hypomesus transpacificus is the source of this 774-nucleotide long non-coding RNA. RefSeq lists it as uncharacterized. The record is from RefSeq and is a predicted model, not a curated record. Lineage: Eukaryota; Metazoa; Chordata; Actinopteri; Osmeriformes; Osmeridae. The transcript has 4 exons.